Molecule: long non-coding RNA, 1365 nt
Filed under: Gouania willdenowi (blunt-snouted clingfish)
Lineage: Eukaryota; Metazoa; Chordata; Actinopteri; Blenniiformes; Gobiesocidae
Description: lncRNA (ENSGWIG00000019258.1)
Source: RNAcentral
UGUAUGAACACAGUGCAGCAAGGUUACACCUCGAGUGUCGUCUGAGAAGUGGCGGUUGUAUUUUGUUGAGCUGGUUUCUCGCUGCUCCGGCUGUGCAAACAUAUAUUAUUGGACUUUUCUGACGGACACAUUUGGUUCUUACAACGGUGCAAAGACAUGAACUUCGCCACUUGCUAUUGUCUUUCUCUACUAUUUAUAAUAGUAGUACAAUGUAAACCAUCUUGCCAUCCCUAUCAGAAGGAUGGUCUCACACACUACCUGUUGUUAGACCCAGAGGGGGUUUUGAAUGCCCCACCCACCGACUGUGAUGUUUCAUACGAACUUCAAAACGGCACUAAUAUCGCCAACCUGAACGGAAAUAAACUCCCUUACGUGAUAGAUAUUACCAUCAAUGGACUCACAACCACGAUGUGUUUCACAUAUAUUGGCAUCACGUGCGCCUGCAACUUAAAGGGGAUUCUAUAUGUAGUACACUGUAACAUCAGCUGUAGUGAAACAACUCCCUCCACUGUGGAUCAAAGCAUCAAACCCACUCCCUCCACUGUGGAUCAAAGAAACCAUCUCCUACUUAAGAUCCUCUUGCCCAUUGGACUUGUGGUGGUGGUCAUUGUUACCAUUGUUGCUCUGGUGUGUCUAUGGAAGGGAAAGAAAAUCAGGUAAAUUUUUCAUCAUAUUGGGACAUGAAAAUACUUGCAUUUAUUUUUCUUAGAAUUAACCAACAUAUAUUGUGUCACAUAGAUGCUCCAUGUUCAGAUUCUACACGUUGGUGAAGACAACCAACGAGGAACACCAAGCAAACGACAUUGAGCUUGGAGAAGUGAAUUAGGAAUGAGUAUUUCUAAAAUAUUUUGGCCCAUUUUAAAAAAAACAAAAAAACAUUUAAAAUGGCUUUUUUUUUUUAGAUACAAUACUGUACAUGCAUCUAUAGUAAUAUAUAGACUUAUUAUCACCUCACACAAUUACACACACAGCACACUGCUUUUACCUUUUGAAAUGUUUAUAUUUAAAUAUUGUGUUCAUACUUUGACUAUUUCUGACCUUUUCUUACUGACUUUUUAAACUCCCCUUAGGGAAACCUACACUGGUGUGAAAGUGAAUGAAAGCUGUGGAAGCUAAGACACAUUACACCCCAUUUACAGGUUUAGAUCACAGCAGUAAGAUUAACCUGAUUGUUUAAAAUACUUAUGGCAGGGGUCACCAACACGGGGCCCGUGGGCACCAGGGAGCCCGUAUGGACCAUGUGAGGUUCCCUCAGGAGCUCUAGUCACCAAUGAGCUCCAUUUAAAAUCUGAUUUACUUUCCAGGAUUCAAACUCAUUUUGAUUUUCAUAAAAUGAAUAAAUUGUUACAUUUUACAAAUGUUACA